CCCGGUCCUCCACCCAUCUAGUUGGAUCUGUCGGUGCUUUCUUCUUUCGGAUGUGAGUCUCCAUGAAGAGCUCAUCAUGACUCAUCUUUCUCCCCAAUUUUUUUCCUACAAAUAUAAUAAACGUGUUAACGAAAGUUGUAGCUACACUCGCAUUUGAUUUAUUUUCUUUAAUGAACAUACGACAAUGAGCACAUGCCACACAACAUGGAGGAUUCACAACUCAAGCUAUAGGUAAUCACAGCAAACUAUGAGCCAGAAAAUAGUAAAAAAAAGCAUUACCAACACCAAGUGCCAGAAAGAUAAUCACAGCAAACUAUGAGCCAGAAAAUAGAUGGAAGCAGUAGCAAAAACCACAACAUGAACAAAGGUAAUAUAUGUCUUCAUGAACAAUCAAUCAUGAAACCAGUAUACAAAUUGUUAAACCUCUUUCGUAUCAGCUUAUAAAUAGUGCGAAAUUCCCCCACCUCACCCCUGAAUCCUGGGGCGAAAGAAUAAAAAGAGGAAACAAUCAUUGUGAGGAGAAGGGGAAGCUUCAUCCAAUUAAGUAUACUAAAAGAAUGUUCAGUUUAAAACAGAUAAGAGUUGUCAUGUAUCAGCAUGUAAAUUUUUGUCCCUUCUUUCCUUAUAUUAUGAAUUAAAUCCUUGUGUUUAUACUAUUACUUGAAGUUGACAGACCACAGAGAACUUUGUCCAACUGUUCACAGAUCAACCAGCCAACAAAUUAAUAUGUUCUCAAAUAUUUUGGAGAGGAAUUGUAACGUCACUAAUCAUAACACGCUCAAAAUUACUAUUCUGUAAGUAAAUCACAAUUUCACAUAUGUUGGUCGACUAACUUUUAGGUUUUGACUAAUCUGCUCAUAAUUGAACUGUUAAGGUAAAGGAAUGAUUUUAAAAAAGCAUGUUAAUUGCAAGAAGGCCAGAACAGACCCCAACAACGAAGAAAUUCAUGCAGCAGCAGUACAUAUUCCGAAAGAAGUAGACUUUAACUCUGUAAGUGAUAUCUUGCCCUUGCGUUAAAUAGUCAUGAACUUUUCCUACUAAUCAGACUUGUUGCUCUCUUCAAAAUGCAGGCAACCUUAUCUGAUAUCAUCCGGAAACUAGGUAUGUCUUAGGAAACACUUUGUUAUUCUAACACUAAUGUUCUCUUUUAUUUGGUGAUCACAUAAUUGGGGUUCAUUUCAGGUAGCCAUUUCGGUGUAGAUUUGAUGCAUAUUGCUUUUUUAUUUGGUGAUCACAUAAUUAGGGUUCAUCUCAGGUAGCCAUUUCGGUGUAGAUUUGAUGCAUAAAAAAGCAGAGGUGAAGGCUAUAAUCACUGAUGUAAUAAAUAACAUGAGUGACGAAGAAGGGGAUGACCCUGAGGCUGGGGAUGAUGAAGAAAAAAAUGAAGGUGAUGAUAGUGAUGCUUAAUUUAUGAGUAAAGUAGAAGGAUAUAUGGUACCAAAUAACGCAAAUUUAAGAUGCACAAUCUCAGAGGCAGAUGUCUCAGGAACUCAUAAUAUUAAUAUUGGGAGAUAUAUAAAUAUAAUUUGAUAAAAUAGACCGAAAUAUUUUAAGGAAUUACCAGAUGUCUCCUUGUAUCCCCCAUGCUCCUUGAACCAAGACAUUGCAAGGAGCCGCCCCUCUCAGAUGCUCGGGCCUUCUUGACAUGUUCACUCUGCUUCUUGAAUUUGUCGGUGGUCCAAUACCUCUCUAGCUCUACCCAUACAUCCGGUAGAACGCAUGAAGGCUUCUUUUUAAGCUUUCGAGCGGAGCUAAAGGAAUCAGAGAGUCUCUUACGCAAUUUGUACUCCCAAUUUUUAUAAAUUUCACGGUUAUACUGGUCCUUCCAGGAACACUUAGUCUGCAAAUAAAGUAUGUAACAUUAGAUGAAAAUAUUAUUAAUAUAACGCUUUAAUAAAUAAGAAUUGUAGUUAUAUUGGUCUUUCCAGGAACACUUAGUCUGCGAAUAAAGUAAGUAACAUUAGUUGAAAAUAUUAUUAAUAUAAUGCUUAAAUAAAUAAGAAUUGUAUUAAAACCUUAAAUUGGUUGAACAUCUGUCGCACGAGACUUUAUGGAAAGUCACUCCAAGUCGGAUAGGGUGUCAAGUACAACGUGCCAAGUAUAUCAGUGAUUAUCUUGUAACCAUCCUAUUUAGAAUAAACCGGGCAGCCUUCUAUUUUCAUAGUGCCAUCUCAUAUGAGGAGAAGAACUCAUCGAUGUAUACAACCUCUUUAAUAUAGGACUAAGUGGUAAGUAAUGCAUUGACUUCACAGCAGCCUUCUUCCCGCUGGAAAACCGCUUAAAACGAGGUUUUUCACAAAAUUUACACCUUUCUAAAUCUGCAUCACCCUUAUUAAACAACAUGCAACCAUCUUCACAACAAUCAAUUCUCAUAGACGAGAGUCCUAAUUUAGAAACCAAUCUUUUAGCCUUAUAAAAAUCUUCGGGUAUGUUGAAAGUUGGAUCAACUAGUUCACUCAUAAGGCCAAUGAAAGAAUCCAUUCCUGCUUGAGAAAUAUUGGUAUCUGAUUUGAUACUUAAUAAUCUAACUGCAACAGACAACUGAGAGUGCAUACUCCCUUGUUUUAGUGGAUGACUAGCAGCUUCUAACUGUUCAUAAAAAUAUUUUGCUUCUUCAUUAGGAGGUUGUUCAACACUUUCGUUGGUUUCAAAUUAGAAGUGCAUCCCAAGAGCAUCAGCAACAAUUUCAUCGUAUCUCGGAUGUUGAAUGGUAUUCCCCACCGACCUACUACUUUCACCAACAACUACAUUAUGAAAUACACCAUCAGUACCAUCAAUCUCUCCAUGACUAGUCCACACAAAAUAAUUAUCCAUAAACACUUUUUGAUAAAGAUGAAUCUUAACAUCCGCCGUUUCAAAAUAAUGCAAACACUUGCACUUUACACAAGGACAGCUAAUCAAUCGUCCAAUUCGAAACGGUUCAAGUGACAUUGCAUGCGUAAUAAAUUCCUCAACCACUUCUAUAAAUUCCUCCCUCAAAAACCGACGAUUAUGAUAAUUCCUAUUAUACAUCCAACUACGAGAUUCUAUCUACAUAAAGAACAAAUAAAUUAUAUUAAUCAUAGUUAAUUGUGAUUGCAGCAGUAUAUAGUUCAUGUGUAUUGCAGCAGCAAUACACAUGAACUAUAUACUCCGUGUGCAUUUCAUAUACUAUACUAAAAGUAGAACAACCCAAACAAUUAUGAACUAAUUAAUUGGUCAAGUGAGUAAGUCCCUGCCAAAUAUGCUGCUGCAAUACACAUGAACUAUAUACUCCGUAUGCAUUUCAUAUACUAUAUUAAAAGUAGAACAACCCAAAUAAUUAUGAACUAAUUAAUUGGUCAAGUGAGUAAGUCCCUGCCAAAUAUGCUAAGAUAUUAUAUCAAUCCACCACUUAUAUUGUCUUACAAAAUAGUUAAAUGAAAUACAAACUUAAAGUAAAGUCCAAGAAAAUUAUAUAAACUUUUAGGUUAAGAGCAAUGAGAAAGAACGGAAAAUAUAGUAUACGCUAAUGCAAUAUCUAGCUAGUUGAAACUCUAUCUAACAUCACCAUUGAUGUUCCUAAAAGGUACAUGCACUCAACAAUUGUAUUUUAAACGGCGAACUUUAUCUAGCAUCACCAUUGAUGUUCCUUAAAGGUACAUGCACUCAACAAUUGUAUUUUAAACGGCCCUAAAGGCCUGCUACGAAUAUUAAUCAAUUUUAUAUCUAAUAACACGAGGCCCAUGCAUUUGUCAUUUUCAUUUAGCACGACGCACCUUGAUUUAUUUCAAAAGAUUGUACUUAACUAAAGCAAACUACAUAUGUUCAUUAUUUUCCACCAAACUGAAUUGCGAUGGCUUGUGAAGUUCAAAGAUUCAUGGAAUACGCAAUUGGAUAAGCAUGACUUUGCUGAUUACAACAACAACAACAACAACAACAACAACCCAGUAAUGUCCCACAAAGUGGGGUCUGGGGAGGGUAAUAUGUAGACGAGCCUUACCCCUACCCGAAAGGGUAGAGAGGCUGCUUCCAAUCGACCCUCGGCGCAUAGGAUAGAAUGAAAAGCUGCAUUGGAACAAAGACAGAAUUAGGUACCAAAGCAUGACAAAAAAUGACUUUGCUGAUUAUUCAACAAAAUUUCUGAUGGAUCAUUACUAAGAGAAAAGAUAUGUCUGCUUCUGGAAAUUGGCCUUUAACUUGAGCAACUGUAUAAGCUUUAUAUUCACACACAAUCAUCUAAAAAUAAACCGGAAGUAAUCUUGAGCUUCACGUUUGAACACAAUGUAUAUAAAUCUACUCAACCAAUGACAAAGACCUAUAAACUUGAGGUAUUACCACAGUCAAUUAAUCCUCUUCAAUCAACGAGAAAAACGCAGGCACAAUUCUGUUAAACAGAAAAUUGGACUACCAUUAAUUCUGUUAAACAGAAAUCACAAUGGAACAUAAAUCAGCAGUGACAGUGAUAGAGUUCAGCCGUAACAACAAUAGAAUUCAACCGUGAAGAACAGAUAAUUUUAUUCCAGCAACGAUCACUGACGGACAAACAUGAUUUACUAGAUCUAUAAUGGAAACAAAAUCGAGAAUUAGAGAAUACCUCGAAAUGCCUAAAUUGACGGAGAAAACGAAUGAGAAACUAUACUUAAUUCAAUGCAAUGAGCAGCAGAGUUACAGCUCCAAAAUGCCUUAGAAGAAAAUGAUUUACCAGUAAGAGCAGAAUAUAUGGUAGGAAGAAAUCACAGCUGCGCCGCUCUCUCUUCCAAGCCUGUAUCUUCUGUGUAUAGGCGUAUAUGUGUGUAAAGAAGAAGCCAAGGUUGCGCUUCAGGCAA
RNAcentral lists this long non-coding RNA (4787 nucleotides) under Nicotiana benthamiana. RNAcentral's name for it is "long non-coding RNA (NBEN_LNC037690)". The record is from RNAcentral. Lineage: Eukaryota; Viridiplantae; Streptophyta; Magnoliopsida; Solanales; Solanaceae.